UACGUAGGGUGCGAGCGUUGUCCGGAAUUAUUGGGCGUAAAGAGCUCGUAGGCGGUUUGUUGCGUCGGCUGUGAAAUCCCGAGGCUCAACCUCGGGUCUGCAGUCGAUACGAGCAAACUAGAGUGUUGCAGGGGAGACUGGAAUUCCUGGUGUAGCGGUGAAAUGCGCAGACAUCAGGAGGAACACCGGUGGCGAAGGCGGGUCUCUGGGCAACAACUGACGCUGAGGAGCGAAAGCGUGGGGAGCGAACAGG
This 253-nucleotide ribosomal RNA is filed under the name uncultured bacterium. Its description in RNAcentral is "partial 16S ribosomal RNA". It matches the Rfam family "Bacterial small subunit ribosomal RNA", at positions 524 to 776 of the family's 1533-position model. The record is from RNAcentral.